Molecule: ribosomal RNA, 660 nt
Filed under: uncultured Bartonella sp.
Lineage: Bacteria; Pseudomonadati; Pseudomonadota; Alphaproteobacteria; Hyphomicrobiales; Bartonellaceae
Description: bacterial SSU rRNA
Rfam family: Bacterial small subunit ribosomal RNA
Source: RNAcentral
GAGUUUGAUCCUGGCUCAGAACGAACGCUGGCGGCANNUUUAACACAUGCAAGUCGAGCGCACUCUUAUGAGUGAGCGGCAGACGGGUGAGUAACGCGUGGGAAUCUACCCUUUUCUACGGAAUAACACAGAGAAAUUUGUGCUAAUACCGUAUACGUCCUACUGGAGAAAGAUUUAUCGGAGAAGGAUGAGCCCGCGUUGGAUUAGCUAGUUGGUGAGGUAAAGGCUCACCAAGGCAACGAUCCAUAGCUGGUCUGAGAGGAUGAUCAGCCACACUGGGACUGAGACACGGCCCAGACUCCUACGGGAGGCAGCAGUGGGGAAUAUUGGUCAAUGGGGGCAACCCUGAUCCAGCCAUGCCGCGUGAGUGAUGAAGGCCCUAGGGUUGUAAAGCUCUUUCACCGGUGAAGAUAAUGACGGUAACCCGGAGAAGAAGCCCCGGCUAACUUCGUGCCAGCAGCCGCGGUAAUACGAAGGGGGCUAGCGUUGUUCGGAUUUACUGGGCGUAAAGCGCAUGUAGGCGGAUAUUUAAGUCAAGAGGUGAAAUCCCAGGGCUCAACCCUGGAACUGCCUUUGAUACUGGAUGUCUUGANUGUGGAANAAGUGAGUGGAAUUCCGAGUNGUNAAGUAAAAAUUCGUAGAUAUUCNGAGGACCCCAGU